CACCAGCUCCGCAAGUUGCAAUCAUAAUUAUUGGGCCUAAAGCGUCCGUAGCCGGUCUAGUAAGUCUUUUGUGAAAUUGUUAUGCUCAACAUAACAGUAUGCAAAAGAUACUGUUAGACUAGGAACUGGGAGGAGUUAGGAGAAUUCCAAGGGGAGCGGUAAAAUGCUAUAAUCCUUGGAGGACUACCUGUGGCGAAAGCGCCUAACCAGAACAGAUUCGACGGUGAGGGACGAAAGCCAGGGGAGCAAACCGGAUUAGAUACCCCCGUA
Molecule: ribosomal RNA, 270 nt
Filed under: uncultured prokaryote
Description: partial 16S ribosomal RNA
Rfam family: Archaeal small subunit ribosomal RNA
Source: RNAcentral